Molecule: transfer RNA, 73 nt
Filed under: Candidatus Obscuribacterales bacterium
Lineage: Bacteria; Bacillati; Candidatus Melainabacteria; Candidatus Obscuribacterales
Description: tRNA-Asn
Rfam family: tRNA
About the family: Transfer RNA (tRNA) molecules are approximately 80 nucleotides in length. Their secondary structure includes four short double-helical elements and three loops (D, anti-codon, and T loops). Further hydrogen bonds mediate the characteristic L-shaped molecular structure. tRNAs have two regions of fundamental functional importance: the anti-codon, which is responsible for specific mRNA codon recognition, and the 3' end, to which the tRNAs corresponding amino acid is attached (by aminoacyl-tRNA synthetases). tRNAs cope with the degeneracy of the genetic code in two manners: having more than one tRNA (with a specific anti-codon) for a particular amino acid; and 'wobble' base-pairing, i.e. permitting non-standard base-pairing at the 3rd anti-codon position.
Source: RNAcentral
UGCACAGUAGCUCAACCGGCAGAGCUCUCCGCUGUUAACGGAGUUGUUGUAGGUUCGAAUCCUACCUGUGCAG